This 109-nucleotide non-coding RNA is filed under the name unclassified sequences. RNAcentral's name for it is "Actinomyces-1 RNA". It matches the Rfam family "Actinomyces-1 RNA". The record is from Rfam by way of RNAcentral.
GGUGCCGCCGGGCGGUGCGGGUCUUGAGGGUUGGGGAACCCGGUGACGGGCCUGUGCCGAGGUCUGUCGGGGUCCAAGGGAGCCCUGGCGGGUCGUUUCGGCGAAGGGG